CUACAGGGUGUAUAAAAAAAAGGAGACCUUUAGAAAUCAACCAUAUUGUUAAAAUUUGAAUGCCUUUUCAAUUGCACAUAUGCCGAACCGUAGUGCGUGAAAUAUUGAUUGGGGGCAUAUAUUAGGAAAAGGAGACCUUUAGAAUUUGAAAUAACGUUUAAACAAAAGUUUGUCUGCUCCUGGGAACAAUCUGCCAUGCAUACUGUACGUAGAUCGCAUGUUACGCACUCGCGGGCUUAGCAAAGUG
This 247-nucleotide long non-coding RNA is filed under the name Paramuricea clavata. Lineage: Eukaryota; Metazoa; Cnidaria; Anthozoa; Malacalcyonacea; Plexauridae. The record is from RNAcentral.